CCUACGGGUGGCAGCAGUGAGGAAUAUUGGUCAAUGGACGAGAGUCUGAACCAGCCAAGUAGCGUGAAGGAUGACUGCCCUAUGGGUUGUAACCUUCUUUUAUAUGGGAAUAAAAUGUUCCACGUGUGGGCUUUUGUGUGUACCAUAUGAAUAAGGAUAGGAUAACGCCGUGCCAGCAGCCGCGGUAAUACGGAGGGUCCGGGCGUUAUCCGGAUUUAUUGGGUUUAAAGGGAGCGUAGGUGGAUUGUUAAGUCAGUUGUGAAAGUUUGCGGCUCAACCGCAAAAUUGAAGUUGAAACUGGCAGUCGUGAGUGCAGUAGAGGUGGGCGGAAUGCGUGGUGUAGCGGUGAAAUGCUUAGAUAUCACGAAGAACUCCGAUUGCGAAGGCAGUUCACUGGACUGCAACUGACACUGAGGCUCGAAAGUGUGGGUAUCAAACAGGAUUAGAUACCCGAGUAGUC
RNAcentral lists this ribosomal RNA (460 nucleotides) under uncultured bacterium. Its description in RNAcentral is "partial 16S ribosomal RNA". It matches the Rfam family "Bacterial small subunit ribosomal RNA", at positions 338 to 795 of the family's 1533-position model. The record is from RNAcentral.